CAUGCAGUCGAGCGAAUGGAUUGAGAGCUUGCUCUCAAGAAGUUAGCGGCGGACGGGUGAGUAACACGUGGGUAACCUGCCCAUAAGACUGGGAUAACUCCGGGAAACCGGGGCUAAUACCGGAUAACAUUUUGAACUGCAUGGUUCGAAAUUGAAAGGCGGCUUCGGCUGUCACUUAUGGAUGGACCCGCGUCGCAUUAGCUAGUUGGUGAGGUAACGGCUCACCAAGGCAACGAUGCGUAGCCGACCUGAGAGGGUGAUCGGCCACACUGGGACUGAGACACGGCCCAGACUCCUACGGGAGGCAGCAGUAGGGAAUCUUCCGCAAUGGACGAAAGUCUGACGGAGCAACGCCGCGUGAGUGAUGAAGGCUUUCGGGUCGUAAAACUCUGUUGUUAGGGAAGAACAAGUGCUAGUUGAAUAAGCUGGCACCUUGACGGUACCUAACCAGAAAGCCACGGCUAACUACGUGCCAGCAGCCGCGGUAAUACGUAGGUGGCAAGCGUUAUCCGGAAUUAUUGGGCGUAAAGCGCGCGCAGGUGGUUUCUUAAGUCUGAUGUGAAAGCCCACGGCUCAACCCGUGGAGGGUCAUUGGAAACUGGGAGACUUGAGUGCAGAAGAGGAAAGUGGAAUUCCAUGUGUAGCGGUGAAAUGCGUAGAGAUAUGGAGGAACACCAGUGGCGAAGCGACUUUCUGGUCUGUAACUGACA
Molecule: ribosomal RNA, 710 nt
Filed under: Bacillus sp. (in: firmicutes)
Lineage: Bacteria; Bacillati; Bacillota; Bacilli; Caryophanales; Bacillaceae
Description: bacterial SSU rRNA
Rfam family: Bacterial small subunit ribosomal RNA
Source: RNAcentral